CUGCAUAGUUUGCGCUGCUAUGCAAAAUAACUCCUUCAUCACUCACCUCAAGGUCAGAUCUGACAGCCGCGCUCCAACUUCCUUGAAUUGAGUCUGAAGUGAGAAGUGUGCUCUUGAUGUUGUCUUUUGGUGACAAAAGCAGGCUGUUAGCAUUAUUCAUCCUGUUGGAAGACAAUUUCAGAUAUGACAGAAGACGUUUGUGUGCCUGGAAAUGUACAUUAAAUGGUGUCAACGACAUCCUCUGAGGUCGCGGCAGAGUCCCCCUGCGGAGAGUGCGAGCUGGCGAGAAUCUACACUGAGGCGUGAUGGCUCUGUGGCAGCUUUGACACAGACUGUAAUCUGUGCUGGACUUUGGCUCUGAUUACACACGUCUCAGGGAGGAAAACAAGGACUGAAGAGGACUCAAGUCUGCCUCGAAGAGACGUCACAAGUCUCCACCGUGUUGUUUCCAUCACAAUGCAGUCUAAAGGGAAGCAAGGAGGAGGAGAAGGAGCCUUCUGGCAUUUUCCGGCGCUGACUAUGGACGGAUCUCCUCACAUGUGCGCACCGAGACACUGGAGACGAGACAGAUAUUCAAAGAGAUCAUUCUAUGGAAUACCAGCUGAAAAGAUCGAUGGAUUUCGCCAGUUAAACGUGAUGGAUGGUGCCCAAACAAAUACACAUGACUGUGUAGCGAUCACUUCAUUUCAGGUGGCCUAAGUCCAGUUUCUAAAGGGAUGGGAAGCGGUGGUUGUUUUACCAUCGUGGAUGCAGAGGUCCCUCGCUUGGGG
This is a long non-coding RNA of Syngnathoides biaculeatus (alligator pipefish), 770 nucleotides long. RefSeq lists it as uncharacterized. Lineage: Eukaryota; Metazoa; Chordata; Actinopteri; Syngnathiformes; Syngnathidae. The transcript has 5 exons. The record is from RefSeq and is a predicted model, not a curated record.